This 4013-nucleotide long non-coding RNA is filed under the name Aquilegia coerulea. RNAcentral describes it as "long non-coding RNA (ACOE_LNC000075)". The record is from RNAcentral. Lineage: Eukaryota; Viridiplantae; Streptophyta; Magnoliopsida; Ranunculales; Ranunculaceae.
GUUAAAUGACCCAUGCCGGAGCUGGGGAAUAAAGCUAUAUGAGGUGAUUGGGUCUUGCUGCCGGAAUCUGCCAUAUUGUAGUCUGAAGUAGUUCUCUGAUGAGUGAUGACUGGUGAGGUAAAGGUUGGUUUAAAUGAAUUUUGUAGAAAUGAAGUGAAGGUUGGUAGGACUAAUUGGUGGUUCAGAACAUUACAAGUGAAUUGUUGGUAGGACUAAUAGGUGGUUCAGAUCAAAGUUGACGAUCUCGAUUUUGGGCCGUUAACGAUUGAGCAAUUAUUUUGUGCUGACACUUGAAUAUUCGUAAAUAUCGAUAUCCAAUUUCUGGAAGAACGGAUUUAUUCGUGGAUUUUUCACGAAUAUCAGAGUUAUUUUCGUCUAUGGUUCAGAUUAUAUUCAAGUGUGUAUGGUACCAUUGUUUGAUAUCAUUGUGGUUGUGAGCUGUUAAGACUUGAGAGUUUUAAGCAAAAUUAAAGAUGAUGGUUAAGACCAAUUAAGAGUAAUCCAGCCGAAGAUGACCAGUGGAAGAACUCGGCUUGAUUUGCAGCAGGCCAGGAGAGAUGCCUUGUUUCAAUUUAACGUUUCAAUCCAAUGAACAGGUUAGCUUGUUCGUUCUGUUUCACUUGUUCUGGGAUAUUAUCAGAAUCCAGAGGCUGGAAAUCAAACUCGCAAUUUGACCCACCAUUUUAGUUUGCCAAAAACGUCAGUGGAGAUGGCUGCCAUCCUUGAAUUCCAGGAUUCUGUUCCUUGUAAAAUUCGAGCAAAGCGGGGUUGUGCUACUCACCCACGAAGUAUCGCAGAGAGGGUAACUACUAUCUAUAUCCUGAUGUGUUGAUCUCUUCAUUUCAUAAAGUUACAUUGUUUAGAAGUUUACAAUAUUGGUGAAGAGUUUGUUUAGGUUUGUCAGUUCUUUAUUUCAAUUUUUUUUUUCAGUAGCACUUGUUCCAAACAUGGACAAGGUAAGGCUAAUUGGCUUUCUUUGUUUGUUUUCUCUUUCCUUGCUUGUCAAAUAUCUGUGGAUUUUAAGCUUUUUUUAUUAGCAGCAAACAAACACCGCAGACAUGUUAGAUUUGGCUGUGGAGUACAUUAAAGAGCUCCAAAAACAGGUCAAGGUAACACAUUUACAUACAUUAGCCAGGGUUAUUUUAGAAAGCUACCACAUUUGUGUCUUUUCUAUGGUAUAAUAGUUAUAGACGCAACAGCUAAUUCAGUCGAGUCUGCAACAGCUAAUUUAGUCGAGUCUGUUGAUUAAUCAAAACGAAUUUUGUAUGGUAUAAUAGUUAUAGACGCAACAGCUAAUUCAGUCGAGUCUGCACAUAUCAAAUACCAUAUUUCUAAGCAAGAUUAUUUUUGAUCUCGUUGUCUGCACAAUGAUCUGUUUGGUGUUGAGAACAAUUCUGGAUCACAUCUGACAUGUGAAAAAAAUUGUGUUUUGAUGAGGUAUACAUUAACCAAUGUAGGAUGAUCUCGAACGAAAAGGACGUGUAUUAAUUAUUUGAGGUUUAACUGUUUAAGCACCAAUGUGGAGAUCUAGCAAGGAUGCAGUAGCACUUUUGGAUUGAUCCUUAGCAAGGAUCAUCACUGAUUAUAUAUGUGUGGUUAUUUAUUUUUAUUGUUUCCAUGUUGCCUAUUCUGCUUACACUUUGUAAUAUUUUUAAUCUCUUUUCUUCGAAUGCCAGUAUUCUACAGUGUGGAGGGGCAGGACUCUAUUGAGAAUAACUGUAUAAGAUUCAGUUCAUGAAUCCUUAGAGAGGUUUAUUACAUUUGGAGGGAGAGGAACCAAUGACGAUUUCAGCAAAAGAUCAUACCAGCUGAAGUAUUAAGAGAUAAAACUAUCAGAGAAACAAAGGCCUAUAUUCAGAACAAAUUCGAGGAGGUGCAGGACUCUAUUGAGAAUAAAGUAUUGAUGGAGAGGCAAAGUACAAAAAGAAACUCAUCAAGACAUGUAAAAUGGUACUCAUCAACUCAAGGGAUUGUCAAACUUAACUCUGAUGGGGUUGUUCACUGAUUCAGGUGCAGGGUAUAGAGGUUUGUUGAGAGACAGUGACGGGAAUGUGAUUACAGCCUACAUUGGGAGUUCGAGCAUAAAGGAAAUCAUAUUCCAGCCAGGAGAUCAAAGCUAUUGCUGAAGGUAUGCAACUGGCGAGGAAUCUACAGACUGAUAACAAUUUCUCUCUAAGGAUUUGUGUCAUUAACAAUAGCAAUCAAAACAGACAAAAAAUAACCCAAAAAAUCAAAACAAAAAAAACAAACACAAAUUAAGUUUAUCCAUUCUUAAUCUCUUCAAGAACAACAAUUAAAGGACAUACCUUUUGAGUGACUGAAGGAAGAUGUUAAGGUCUCGGGAAGAUUAAGAUUUCGUUUAAGGUUAGAGAGGCGAAGAGUUAAGAAAGAAAGGAUAGUAAAGUUUAAUCAUGACCAUGGGGAUGGGGAUGAAGAUUGGGGUUUUAAUCUUAGUCACACUAAUUAUUAAUCCUAAUCACACUAAUUUAAUCUUAAUCACACUAAAUAUUAAUCCUAGUCAUAGAAAUUUAAUCCUAGUCAUAGAAAUUUAAUCCUAGUCAUAGAAAUUAGUCCUAGUCAAAUUAUGCACCAUUUGUAGAUAUGUAGACAUUCACUGGCAUAUCAAAAGGGAAGAUGGAGAUUUAUACUACAUUUUACAACUAACCUGAAUCAUAAACUAUAUAACACCAAUAUGGCAUGAGUUUCUACUAUAACUCUGCUACAGCCCUGUAACUCUAGGAAACAUCUGCGACAUUCAAACUUAACAUGGGACCUUACAUUGACGUAACAUCUAUGUUAUCACAUUGUAUGACAUUAUGCCGUGACUCUAGACAGUUAAAACCUAAACCCAGAAUUCUAGAACAUGUAGUCCUAACAUAGAAAUAAUACCACUAACUUGUAGCUAAUGUCUACCUUUAACAAAAAAUGUUCAUCUUAAUAUUCUUUGCUGCAUUUUCAAACAUUGUUUAUUAACUUGCUUUCCAUUUAAGCCCCACUUAAUCUUUUUGUUAUAUGACUUAUAUCACUUGAACCAUAUAGGUUGCACAUAUAUUUCAUCCAAUCUCUGUAUUUCAGGCUGAUAUAACCAAAAAAGGCAAAGCAUCUCUACUCUCUAUUGUUUUGGGACCCCAGAGGCUACAGCAUCACAGUCAAUCUCAAGACCUGGUAAUGCAGACAACUAAAAUCACCAAGUACUAAAAGGAAUAAAAAACGUGAAUCAACCAUUACACUGCCAAUGUUUUCAAGCAGUUGAUGACAACUUCAACAAAUAGUAGCAGAUGUUUAAAGUUGAAGUCCAAAGUUGUAGUACAGUAACCAAAUGUACCAGGACAACGCAUCAAUAACAUAAUGAGUCAUGCAUCAAAUGGAUCAAAGUACCAUUUGGAAAGGUCGGAGAAAACUUGACCAAAUUUUUGAUUCAGUAAAUGAAACAGUGGAAUGAAAUGUGAUGACUGUAACAUGGAAGUUUUGAUUAGAAAGGGUAGUGGCAAGUCGAAGAAAAGGCGUUAAAUGACCCAUGCCGGAGCUGGGGAAUAAAGCUAUAUGAGGUGAUUGGGUCUUGCUGCCGGAAUCUGCCAUAUUGUAGUCUGAAGUAGUUCUCUGAUGAGUGAUGACUGGUGAGGUAAAGGUUGGUUUAAAUGAAUUUUGUAGAAAUGAAGUGAAGGUUGGUAGGACUAAUUGGUGGUUCAGAACAUUACAAGUGAAUUGUUGGUAGGACUAAUAGGUGGUUCAGAUCAAAGUUGACGAUCUCGAUUUUGGGCCGUUAACGAUUGAGCAAUUAUUUUGUGCUGACACUUGAAUAUUCGUAAAUAUCGAUAUCCAAUUUCUGGAAGAACGGAUUUAUUCGUGGAUUUUUCACGAAUAUCAGAGUUAUUUUCGUCUAUGGUUCAGAUUAUAUUCAAGUGUGUAUGGUACCCUUGUUUGAUAUCAUUGUGAUUGUGAGCUCUUAAGACUUGAGAGUUUUAAGCAAAAUUAAAGAUGAUGGUUAAGACCAAUUAAGAGUAAUCCAGCCG